CGCUGCGUGUCUCUCCUGCGCAGAACAAACGUCGCUGGAAACGUUUUACUUUCGCUUCGACUCGUGUGACAUUCCGGGUUUGGCAGAUACAAGAGGCGCUCACAGAGUCCAUAAUAAACGGGGGUGAGCGGAGCUGAACGGCUAAAAGCUAAAAGUUCAAAUAUUUUCUCACACUUGUCCAGGAUGUUUUUGGCCGCGUUUCUGCUACUGAGUGCUGAUGGGUUGGUGAGCUGCGCAGGAGCAGCACAAAUGCGUCCUACUGUCAAAAACACGUUUGCUGCAGAAACAGGAAACAUACGGCUCCAUUCACCUCCAUUCAUUGCGGGCUGUCUCGACAGCGCCCUCUGGCGUUAGCAGCCACGUUUUGCUACAACAGGAGGAACCGGAAGUGGUCCGGCGCGUCAGAAACUCACCAGCAGAAACAGUGCAGCGUUUGUUCGGCCACUUUUACAGGAAAAAUACAAUGUAUUCUUACAUUCAUUAUACACAAUAUAUCCUUACACUCAUUACAUUGUAUUCUUACAUUCAUUAUACACAAUGUAUCCUUACACUCAUUAUAUACAUUACAUUGUAUUCUUACAUUCAUUAUACACAAUAUAUCCUUACACUCAUUAUA
This is a non-coding RNA of Electrophorus electricus (electric eel), 616 nucleotides long. The record is from RefSeq and is a predicted model, not a curated record. Lineage: Eukaryota; Metazoa; Chordata; Actinopteri; Gymnotiformes; Gymnotidae.